AGAGUUUGAUCCUGGCUCAGAUUGAACGCUGGCGGUAUGCUUAACACAUGCAAGUCGAACGGAAACGAAACUAGCUUGCUAGUAGGCGUCGAGUGGCGGACGGGUGAGUAACGCGUAGGAAUCUGCCUGAUAGUGGGGGAUAGCCCGAAGAAAUUCGGAUUAAUACCGCAUAAUCUAUUCGUAGUAAAGUGGGGGACUUUCGAGCCUCACGCUAUCAGAUGAGCCUGCGUAAGAUUAGCUUGUUGGUAGGGUAAAAGCCUACCAAGGCAACGAUCUUUAGCUGGUCUGAGAGGAUGAUCAGCCACAUCGGGACUGAGACACGGCCCGAACUCCUACGGGAGGCAGCAGUGGGGAAUAUUGGACAAUGGGGGCAACCCUGAUCCAGCAAUACCGCGUGUGUGAAGAAGGCCCGAGGGUUGUAAAGCACUUUCAAUUGUGAAGAAAAGUUAGCGGUUAAUAACCGUUGACCUUGACGUUAACUAUAGAAGAAGCACCGGCUAACUCCGUGCCAGCAGCCGCGGUAAUACGGAGGGUGCAAGCGUUAAUCGGAAUUACUGGGCGUAAAGCGUGCGUAGGCGGUUUAUUAAGUCAGAUGUGAAAGCCCCGGGCUUAACCUGGGAACUGCAUUUGAAACUGGUCAACUAGAGUAUGGUAGAGGAAAGUGGAAUUUCUGGUGUAGCGGUGAAAUGCGUAGAUAUCAGAAGGAACAUCAAUGGCGAAGGCAGCUUUCUGGACCAAUACUGACGCUGAGGUACGAAAGCGUGGGUAGCAAACAGGAUUAGAUACCCUGGUAGUCCACGCCGUAAACGAUGAUAACUAGCCGUUGGGGGGAUUUACCCUUUAGUGGCGAAGCUAACGCGUUAAGUUAUCCGCCUGGGGAGUACGGCCGCAAGGUUAAAACUCAAAGGAAUUGACGGGGACCCGCACAAGCGGUGGAGCAUGUGGUUUAAUUCGAUGCAACGCGAAGAACCUUACCUGGUCUUGACAUCCUGCGAACUUUCUAGAAAUAGAUUGGUGCCUUCGGGAACGCAGUGACAGGUGCUGCAUGGCUGUCGUCAGCUCGUGUCGUGAGAUGUUGGGUUAAGUCCCGUAACGAGCGCAACCCCUAUCCUUAUUUGCCAGCACGUCAUGGUGGGAACUAUAAGGAGACUGCCGGUGAUAAACCGGAGGAAGGCGGGGACGACGUCAAGUCAUCAUGGCCCUUACGACCAGGGCUACACACGUGCUACAAUGGGAAGGACAAAGAGCCGCGAAGCCGCGAGGUGUAGCUAAUCUCAGAAACCUUUUCGUAGUCCGGAUUGGAGUCUGCAACUCGACUCCAUGAAGUCGGAAUCGCUAGUAAUCGUAGAUCAGAAUGCUACGGUGAAUACGUUCCCGGGUCUUGUACACACCGCCCGUCAUACCAUGGGAGUGGGUUGCACCAGAAGUGGCUAGUCUAACUUAGUGAGGACGGUCACCACGGUGUGAUUCAUGACUGGGGUAAAGUCGUAACAAGGUAACC
Molecule: ribosomal RNA, 1501 nt
Filed under: uncultured bacterium
Lineage: Bacteria
Description: bacterial SSU rRNA
Rfam family: Bacterial small subunit ribosomal RNA
Source: RNAcentral